UACGAUAGGCCAAUUAAUUUUCUCAGUUUUAUUAAGAUACCAUAAAAUUAAUUAUAAGUUAAAUUUUAUAUAAUAAGAACCGCUAUUACCUGCAUUAAAUUAUUAACUAAAACAAGGAUUAGAUACCCUUCUAUUAAUAACCAUAAAAAUUAAACUAGAUAAUACGAACCAUAGUUUAAAAUCUAAAGAAUUUGGCGGUGACCCAUAAAAUCAGGGGAACCUGUUUAUUAAAUCGAUAACCCACGUAAUGAGAAACCUAAAUUUGAACAUCAACAUGUGUACUGCCGUUGAAAAUAUACCUUUAUAGAGAGUAUAUAAAAAAAGACAGCUUCUAACAUCAGGUCAAAGUGCAGUUUAUAUAUUAGGAUUAAAUGGGUUACAAUCUUUACAUGCCUCUAGAGCCCCUUAUUAAAUUAUAGGAUAAAAUUGGACUUGACAGUAAUUUAAAUUAACUUAUUUAAAUGAAAAUUACCUGGGUCAUGCACACAUCGCCCGUCACUCCCUCUAUAAAAGAGGG
Molecule: ribosomal RNA, 517 nt
Filed under: Paracanthobdella livanowi
Lineage: Eukaryota; Metazoa; Annelida; Clitellata; Acanthobdellida
Description: partial small subunit ribosomal RNA
Source: RNAcentral